Molecule: ribosomal RNA, 394 nt
Filed under: uncultured bacterium
Lineage: Bacteria
Description: partial 16S ribosomal RNA
Rfam family: Bacterial small subunit ribosomal RNA
Source: RNAcentral
AUACGUAGGGAGCGAGCGUUGUCCGGAAUUACUGGGCGUAAAGGGCGCGUAGGCGGCGCUUCAAGUCGUCUGUCAAAUGGGAGGGCUUAACCCUUUUUCGCAGACGAGACUGGAGAGCUUGAGAAGCAGAGAGGCAAACAGAAUUCCUGGUGUAGCGGUGAAAUGCGUAGAUAUCAGGAAGAAUACCAGUGGCGAAGGCGGUUUGCUGGCUGCAUACUGACGCUGAAGCGCGAAAGCCAGGGGAGCAAACGGGAUUAGAUACCCCGGUAGUCCUGGCAGUAAACGAUGUAUGCUGGGUGUGAGACUAGCGAUAGUUUCGUGCCGAAGUUAACGCGAUAAGCAUACCGCCUGGGGAGUACGGUCGCAAGAUUGAAACUCAAAUGAAUUGACGGGG